AACGACGUGACACUCGAGAAUUGACGUGAAUUGCAGACACACCGAACUUGAAUACUUUGAACGCACAUUGCAGCGUCGAUCAAAGAUGUCGACGCUACGCCUGUCUGAGGGUC
RNAcentral lists this ribosomal RNA (113 nucleotides) under Trichuris trichiura (human whipworm). RNAcentral describes it as "partial 5.8S ribosomal RNA". It matches the Rfam family "5.8S ribosomal RNA", at positions 42 to 153 of the family's 154-position model. From Rfam's summary of the family: 5.8S ribosomal RNA (5.8S rRNA) is a component of the large subunit of the eukaryotic ribosome. It is transcribed by RNA polymerase I as part of the 45S precursor that also contains 18S and 28S rRNA. The record is from RNAcentral. Lineage: Eukaryota; Metazoa; Nematoda; Enoplea; Trichinellida; Trichuridae.